GGGGGGACGCAGUAGGAUAGGCGAAGCGUGCGAUUGGAUUGCACGUCUAAGCAGUAAGGCUGAGUAUUAGGCAAAUCCGGUACUCAUUAAGGCUGAGCUGUGAUGGGGAGAAGACAUUGUGUCUUCGAGUCGUUGAUUUCACACUGCCGAGAAAAGCCUCUAGAUAGAAAAUAGGUGCCCGUACCGCAAACCGACACAGGUAGUCAAGAUGAGAAUUCUAAGGUGAGCGAGCGAACUCUCGUUAAGGAACUCGGCAAAAUGACCCCGUAACUUCGGGAGAAGGGGUGCUCUUUAGGGUUAACGCCCAGAAGAGCCGCAGUGAAUAGGCCCAAGCGACUGUUUAUCAAAAACACAGGUCUCUGCUAAACCGUAAGGUGAUGUAUAGGGGCUGACGCCUGCCCGGUGCUGGAAGGUUAAGAGGAGUGGUUAGCUUCUGCGAAGCUACGAAUCGAAGCCCCAGUAAACGGCGGCCGUAACUAUAACGGUCCUAAGGUAGCGAAAUUCCUUGUCGGGUAAGUUCCGACCCGCACGAAAGGCGUAACGAUUUGGGCACUGUCUCAACGAGAGACUCGGUGAAAUCAUAGUACCUGUGAAGAUGCAGGUUACCCGCGACAGGACGGAAAGACCCCGUGGAGCUUUACUGUAGCCUGAUAUUGAAAUUCGGCACAGCUUGUACAGGAUAGGUAGGAGCCUUUGAAACGUGAGCGCUAGCUUACGUGGAGGCGCUGGUGGGAUACUACCCUAGCUGUGUUGGCUUUCUAACCCGCACCACUUAUCGUGGUGGGAGACAGUGUCAGGCGGGCAGUUUGACUGGGGCGGUCGCCUCCUAAAAGGUAACGGAGGCGCUCAAAGGUUCCCUCAGAAUGGUUGGAAAUCAUUCAUAGAGUGUAAAGGCAUAAGGGAGCUUGACUGCGAGACCUACAAGUCGAGCAGGGUCGAAAGACGGACUUAGUGAUCCGGUGGUUCCGCAUGGAAGGGCCAUCGCUCAACGGAUAAAAGCUACCCCGGGGAUAACAGGCUUAUCUCCCCCAAGAGUUCACAUCGACGGGGAGGUUUGGCACCUCGAUGUCGGCUCAUCGCAUCCUGGGGCUGUAGUCGGUCCCAAGGGUUGGGCUGUUCGCCCAUUAAAGCGGUACGCGAGCUGGGUUCAGAACGUCGUGAGACAGUUCGGUCCCUAUCCGUCGUGGGCGUAGGAAAUUUGAGAGGAGCUGUCCUUAGUACGAGAGGACCGGGAUGGACAUACCUCUGGUGUACCAGUUGUCGUGCCAACGGCAUAGCUGGGUAGCUAUGUGUGGACGGGAUAAGUGCUGAAAGCAUCUAAGCAUGAAGCCCCCCUCAAGAUGAGAUUUCCCAACUUCGGUUAUAAGAUCCCUCAAAGAUGAUGAGGUUAAUAGGUUCGAGGUGGAAGCAUGGUGACAUGUGGAGCUGACGAAUACUAAUCGAUCGAAGACUUAAUCAAAA
This 1461-nucleotide ribosomal RNA is filed under the name Staphylococcus aureus. RNAcentral's name for it is "bacterial LSU rRNA". It matches the Rfam family "Bacterial large subunit ribosomal RNA", at positions 1466 to 2925 of the family's 2925-position model. RNAcentral also lists the same sequence under 2 other names. The record is from RNAcentral. Lineage: Bacteria; Bacillati; Bacillota; Bacilli; Caryophanales; Staphylococcaceae.